RNAcentral lists this ribosomal RNA (776 nucleotides) under uncultured Neocallimastigales. RNAcentral's name for it is "partial large subunit ribosomal RNA". It matches the Rfam family "Eukaryotic large subunit ribosomal RNA", at positions 24 to 627 of the family's 3401-position model. Lineage: Eukaryota; Fungi; Neocallimastigomycota; Neocallimastigomycetes; Neocallimastigales. The record is from RNAcentral.
UAUCUCUGUAGAGUCUGCAUAUCAAUAAGCGGAGGAAAAGAAACUAACUAGGAUUCCCUUAGUAACGGCGAGUGAAGCGGGAAGAGCUCAAAUUUGAAAUCUUCAAGGUUUUACCUUGACGAAUUGUAGUUUAAAGAAGUGUUUUCUGUUGGAUGUUUUGGUAAAAGUUCUUUGGAAUAGGACAUCAUAGAGGGUGAGAAUCCCGUAUUUGACCAUUACUUUCCAGCUUUGUGAUACACUUUCAAAGAGUCGGAUUGUUUGGGAAUGCAGUCCAAAAUGGGUGGUAAAUUUCAUCUAAAGCUAAAUAUUGGCGAGAGACCGAUAGCGAACAAGUACCGUGAGGGAAAGAUGAAAAGAACUUUGAAAAGAGAGUUAAACAGUACGUGAAAUUGUCAAAAGGGAAGCGUUUGACACCAGUGUUGUUUUCUCGAAAAUCAAUUAAAAAAGGCAGGAUUUUGUGUUGUAUUGACUUUAUCAGCUUUCUGCACUCUUUUCUUGUCUUUUUUAAUGCACUUUUCGUUUAACAAGUCAACAUCAAUUUCUUUUGUUGUAAAAGGGUCAUUGGAAGGUGGCUUUCUUUUCGGAGAAAGUGUUUAUAGCCUUUGGCCUCUGCAAUCGGAGAGAUUGAGGUCUGCAGCGUAGAUCCCUCGGGGUUAGAUACAUUUGUGCUAAGUUAUAGCCUUUCAUAGACAACUUGUUGACUAUGAUCAGUCAUGUAGCUUACUCGCUUAUGCUAUUUUACCUACGCUUAGGAUGUUGACGAUCAGCUGAGCGCG